This 468-nucleotide ribosomal RNA is filed under the name uncultured bacterium. RNAcentral describes it as "partial 16S ribosomal RNA". It matches the Rfam family "Bacterial small subunit ribosomal RNA", at positions 28 to 507 of the family's 1533-position model. The record is from RNAcentral.
GACGAACGCUGGCGGCGUGCUUAACACAUGCAAGUCGAACGGAAAGGCCCUGCUUUUGUGGGGUGCUCGAGGGGCGAACGGGUGAGUAACACGUGAGUAACCUGCCCUUGACUUUGGGAUAACUUCAGGAAACUGGGGCUAAUACCGGAUAGGAGCUCCUGCUGCAUGGGGGGGGUUGGAAAGUUUCGGCGGUUGGGGAUGGACUCGCGGCUUAUCAGCUUGUUGGUGGGGUAGUGGCUUACCAAGGCUUUGACGGGUAGCCGGCCUGAGAGGGUGACCGGCCACAUUGGGACUGAGAUACGGCCCAGACUCCUACGGGAGGCAGCAGUGGGGAAUAUUGCACAAUGGGCGGAAGCCUGAUGCAGCAACGCCGCGUGCGGGAUGACGGCCUUCGGGUUGUAAACCGCUUUCGCCUGUGACGAAGCGUGAGUGACGGUAAUGGGUAAAGAAGCACCGGCUAACUACGUG